CUACGUGCCAGCAGCCGCGGUAAUACGGAAGGUCCAGGCGUUAUCCGGAUUUAUUGGGUUUAAAGGGUGCGUAGGCCGUUUGAUAAGCGUGCUGUGAAAUAUAGUGGCUCAACCUCUAUCGUGCAGCGCGAACUGUUGAACUUGAGUGCGUAGUAGGUAGGCGGAAUUCGUGGUGUAGCGGUGAAAUGCUUAGAUAUCACGAAGAACUCCGAUUGCGAAGGCAGCUUACCGUAACGUUACUGACGCUUAAGCACGAAGGUGCGGGUAUCGAACAGGAUUAGAUACCCUGGUAGUCCGCACAGUAAACGAUGGAUGCUCGCUGUUGGCCUUUAUGGUCAGUGGCUUAGCGAAAGCGUUAAGCAUCCCACCUGGGGAGUACGCCGGCAACGGUGAAACUCAAAGGAAUUGACGGGGGCCCGCACAAGCGGAGGAACAUGUGGUUUAAUUCGAUGAUACGCGAGGAACCUUACCCGGGCUUGAACUGCAGCUGAACGAUUCAGAGAUGAU
RNAcentral lists this ribosomal RNA (507 nucleotides) under uncultured bacterium. Its description in RNAcentral is "bacterial SSU rRNA". It matches the Rfam family "Bacterial small subunit ribosomal RNA", at positions 501 to 1010 of the family's 1533-position model. The record is from RNAcentral.